Non-coding RNA from Schistosoma haematobium, 45 nucleotides. NCBI's taxonomy places the organism in Eukaryota, Metazoa, Platyhelminthes, Trematoda, Strigeidida, Schistosomatidae. The record is from Rfam.
AUCCAGCUGACGAGCCCCAACUGGGACGAAACAUGAGUCCUGGAU